AGGACGAACGCUGGCGGCGUGCUUAACACAUGCAAGUCGAGCGGAAAGGCCUUUCGGGGUACUCGAGCGGCGAACGGGUGAGUAACACGUGAGUAAUCUGCCCAUCGCUUCAGGAUAGCCAUCGGAAACGGUGAUUAAUACUGGAUAUGACAUUCCUUCGCAUGUUGGGGUGUGGAAAGUUUUUUCGGCGGUGGAUGUGCUCGCGGCCUAUCAGCUUGUUGGUGGGUAAUGGCCUACCAAGGCUUUGACGGGUAGCCGGCCUGGAGAGGGUCGACCGGCCACACGUGGGACCUGAGACCACGGCCCCAGACCUCCUACGGGAGGCCAGCAGGUGGGGAAUAGUUGGACAAGUGGGACGGAAGCCCGUGACUCCAGCCAACACCCGGCGUGGA
RNAcentral lists this ribosomal RNA (392 nucleotides) under uncultured soil bacterium. RNAcentral's name for it is "bacterial SSU rRNA". It matches the Rfam family "Bacterial small subunit ribosomal RNA", at positions 26 to 405 of the family's 1533-position model. The record is from RNAcentral.